UUGGAAAAAAACUAAAGCAUCCAUGCUCAAAUAAAUAUCAAUUCAACUAACACCUCAACAACCUUGAAGGUAGAAGUCUUAACAGAUUUUAAAAUUUAACAAUAAGUAUAGACAAAUCAUUGAUGGCAAAAUGAACAAACACAACUUCAAGCAGAAAUCGAGACGAACUGAGGAAAGCAAAUAGACUCAAUGUUCAUGUGUAGUGCUUCAAAGCAAAUAUAAACCAAAGUAGUAAUCCCAAAUAAUUAAGCAAGGCAUAGAAAACGUGACAUUGCUCACUUAACAUUUGUCAAACAAUCCAGUCUUAUAAAUAUUUCAAAGUGAAUUAACCAUUGCACUUAUCAUACUCGGAUCAUCACCAACAGCAAAUUAUAGAAGAGAAAAAGAUGGACCUGAACGCGAAGCUUUGAUUAGUUUGUUUGGAAUCAAAUAAAAAUAAAUCCGGUCGUGAAAUCUGAAGUAAAUAGCAACCACAAUGCAACAAAAAACUUAAAAAAUGGACCAUGAUCGGAACUUUUGAAACUCGACGACCUCGACUUGAUUUGGCAACUUUAGCGGUGGUGUUUGGAGGUGGAAGGCUGCUGAAAUUUCAUGUGUUUGGCUGGUUGUUUGGAGCUAAUUUUCAGCUGGUCUGUGGCUCGUAUUGGGUGGUAUUUCGCUGGUGUUUGUACAGUUGAAGCAGUAGCGAUGAACUAGUGGAGCUAUAGCUGCUUUGGGGUGGCUUUGGGGCUGGAUUUUAGUCCCUUUUUAGCUCAUUUUGGGCUGAUUCGCAGCUAAUUUCAGCUGUUUUACAGCUAGUUUUGGCUGAUUUUCAUGGCUUCUCAAAGCUAGUUUCAAUGGAGUUUCGAAGCAAGUUUUCAACGGAAUUCACAUGGAGCUCUUGAAGUUGAUUUUUUAGGAGGAGGAAGAAGAAGUUUUGCCUCCCAUCUUAUUGUUUUCCCUCCGAUCCCAGGUCUCUGUUUUUUCCCGUCCCUCUCUCUAUCGUAUGUUUGUAUGUGUGUGUUAUCACUCUUUUUCGAUUUUUCUUCCUUAAGUAGCUGCACAGCUUUUUCCCUCUUUUGCCUUAGGGUUUCUUCAAAGAAAAGAUCUGUUAAGUAAGUGAAGAGAGGGAUAUUAGGCCAGGCGGGUCGGGCAUAUGGGGACUAGGCUGGUGCAACAUUUUGGGCCACUAAAACUGGGCAAUUUGGAACAAGAAACAACAGACCCUAUUCCUCUUUUAUUUGAUCUUUCAAAAAUAGGCACAUUACUUCUAAUUGAAUUUAUUUUGCCAAAACGACCUAAUUAGCAUUUUAACUAAUUAAUUAAACUAAUUGAUUAAAGCUAAUGUAUAUUUUUUGUGAUUUUUGUUUUAAUCAUCCUUUUAACCUAUGAUUAAUUUUUAAAUGCAAUUAACACACUAAAUGAAAAGGAAAAAAUAUUUUUGAUGAUUUUUAUAAUUUAAAAAAUUUCUAAAUAUGCAUGAACAAUGUAAAUAAAUGCAAAACAAAUAAAAGAAAAGUUCCUAAAAUGCUAUAAAAGCAAUUAAAAAUAUUUUGGACUAUUUUUUAGGAGCAAAUUUCUAUGUGUGGAAAAUAUUAGGUGCUCACAGCUGCCCCUCUUUGUUUGAAAACAUGAAGAGUUUUCAGGCAAAGACAAAGUGAGCCGUAUGACUAAUUUUUGACCAUGCCAUUAUUCAAAGAAAAGAGAAGAUAGUGCAACCGACUUCUGGUUUUGGACAGCCUACAUAUCCCGGGUUAUAAGGGAAUCAGGUCGCGUGUAGUUCAAAAAAUUUUGGUAGAAUGAUGAUUUCGAGAGUCGAGUGAGGUUCCAUCGAGGCUCCAGUUUGUGGUCCUGUUAUUACAUCAAAAUCAAAAUUAAAAGACUAAAUAAACCUAUCAGCUACGAGUUACAAGAUUCCUAUCUAUGAGUCUUCUGAAGCUUGAUCUUGAGUCUUGGUUGGUUCUUCAUAUGGACUCUGAUCUGACUCUUGAUGCUUGUUAGCUGCAGGUGCUGGUUCAUUCCUUUUUCAACUUUUCGGAUCAAGGCAGGAUAUGCAAAGAUUGUGACUUCAAUCACGUCUUGAGCAAUCCACAUCUUUUCUCCAUUUCUGCACUUUGAGUUCACUUCUUUUUCUUUUAUUCUGGAUUGAGACUCUUUCUUUUGAUCGUCUCGAACCCUGUGCCUCGAGGUAGAACCUGCUCAGACACCAAAACAAACAAACGAACGGAAUUUUUCUGCCCCAAUUUUCACUAGAAAUAUUUUGUGAGUUAUUUGUAACGAAAACUCUAUACUAUUUCGUUAUUGAAAGCAAUAAAAGUCAGGACUGUGUAUCCUUGAAAAAAGAGAUUAGGGAGUGGAGAUUCUAUAUUUUUAAAAAAAAGGAAAUCCAUUAGGGAUUGGAGACCCUAUGUUGGAAAAUCAUCAACUAGGGAGUGAUGACCUUAUAUGCUGGCAUCAAUUAGGGAGUGGUGGCCCUAUGUUGGCAUCAGCUUAUGUUGGCAUCAACUAGGGAAUGAAGACCCUAUGUUGGCAUCAACUAGGGAGUGAAGACCCUAUGUCUAAAAUAAACUAAGAUGUUUAUUUUUUGGUUUUUCUCUUUUUUUUUAUUGAGAAAAAUAAUUUUCCUUGAUUUUUUUGGUUGAGAAAAUCAUUCUUUUAAAAAAAUCGCCCGACUCUUACUUUCUGAGGGCAUGAACAUAUGAAUUUUUUUUCUUUUUUUUUAAAAUCCAGAAUUUUUUUAAUUAUACUCGGAGAAAAUUCAUCAGACUAGGUUUUCUUAUCUUAGGAGAAAAAUUCGUCAUACUAAGACUUUGAUCCUAGGGAAAAAUUCAUCAGACUAGGUUUUUUUUGGUUAUCUUAGGAGAAAGAUUCAUCAAACUAAGAUGUUUCUACUAGGAGAAAGAUUCAUCAAACUAGGUUUCUUAUCUUAGGAGAAAGAUUCAUCAGCUAAGAUGUUUAUCCUAGGAGAAAGAUUUAUCAGACUAGGUUUCUUAUCUUAGGAGAAAGAUUCAUCAGACUAAGAUUUCGAUCCUAGGAGAAAGAUUCAUCAGACCAGGUAUUUUUUUUUGUUAUCUUAGGAAAAAGAUUCGUCAGACUAAGACGUUUAUCCUAGGAGAAAGAUUUAUUAGACUAGGUUUCUUAUCUUAGAAGAAAGAUUCAUUAGACUAAGAUUUCGAUCCUAGGAGAAAGAUUCAUCAGGUUAGGAUUUUUUUUGUUAUCUUAGGAGAAAGAUUCAUCAGACUACGACGUUUAUCCAAGGUGAAAAUUCAUCAGACUAGGUUUCUUUUUCUUUUUUUGCAUCUUAGGAGAAAGAUUCAUCAGGCUAGGUCUUCUAUCUUAGGAGAAAGAUUCAUUAGACUAAGAUUUCGAUCAUAGGAGAAAAUUCAUCAGACUAGGUCCCUUUUUUUGUUAUCUUAGGAGAAAGAUUCAUCAGACUAAGAUUUCUAUCCUAGGAGGAAGUUCAUCAGACUAGGUCUUCUACCUUAGGAGAAAAAUUCAUCAGACUAAGAUGUUUAUACUAGGAGAAAGAUUCAUCAGACUAGGUUUCUUAUCUUAGGAGGAAAAAUGUGAGGAGUAAUGAUAAGAUUUUAUGCACUCUAGCAAGACAAAAUAAAGUCAAAAAUUUGAGAGACUUCCCUUUGUCGGCUCUUUCCUUCUCUUUUUUUUUUCUCUUUUUUUCACUUUUUUUCUUUUUUUUGAGCCACUUUACUUGUACUUCUUUGUUCCUAUUUCAACCAAAGAAAACUUUAUCAGUUUUGAAAGUGGUCGUCGGUUUGUGGCCUUGAUGUCUUUGGCAGCUUGGCUUUGUGAUCAUCCAUCCUUUGGAAGACCAACUGUAUUGGUAGUUGGUCACACGGCUGGGAGACUCUGUUGCUGCUUUCAAGAGACUUUUACUCCAUAUCAACCAUGAAUAUUUCACUCCGACUACCAGUUAUAUUUGUGGCUCAGUCAACCUUAUCUCCAAAAAGAGAUUUCUUUUCUUGGACAACUUUUUCUGAUAUCUUGAAUGGCUUUGCUUUUGGAGCAAUUUGUCUAUCAGAGAGAAUCACAAAUAGUAAGAGCCUUUAGCAUGAUGUGCACACUUCAUAGUCUCUAUUCAGUACCACAGAGAGUACCUGAUUAAUUAUCUUUGCUUGCUUUAACCAAAUAGGCUGACAAGAGUCUUUGGAAAGCCUUUCCAUGAAUGCAUGUUGACUAUAAAAACUGAGUGUUCUGGCCAAAUUUACUUUGUGCAACUGAAAAGCUGGUAACAGAUUUUGAAAUCUUUUCUUGCUUGUUUUGACAAGGAAUGACUCAGAGUGAAGGACACAAUGAUGCGAAAAAACAAUAUUAACAAGAAAUUCCCCGUUCAGGAAGGACGGAAGGAAGAGUUUUUUUUGCGGUAACUAGCCUUAAUGAUCAUGACAUGAAUUUUGGACUUAACGGCCUGAUCUAUCAAACUGAACCAAUUUUCUCUUUUACCAUUCUUAUGACCUUUGAAGUCAGGCUUGUUCGUGCCAAUAUUUUGCAUCAACUCCAUGACUCACUUUCGACAAGUGGUUCCACGAGGGAUUUUCACCAACAAGUCUCUCUCAUUUGUUCAUCUCUUCUUACCGUCGCCUUACAGUGCCCAUGAGGGUUUUCACUAGUAAGACUCUCUCAAUUUUCUUUUUUUUUCUUUUUCUUUUGCUUAAGACUCUCUCAAUUUUUUUUCUUUUUCUUUUGCUUCUCGUGUGAGCAACUUGAUAGUGUUUUAUGUUGUGUGACAACCGUUGCUCAUUGUGUACUUCUCUUGCAUUCUUGAAGGCAUAUCGGGAGGUCUUUAUUUUGAAGGUUUUUGGAUAGGGUUGGAAAGAAAGGUCGGUAUGAAGGCUCAAAGUAGACUCAAAAUUAGGGAGUGUAGACUUACAACUCUUGGAAUCGACUCUUUCAAAAAAAGAAAUAAAAUCUUUUCCCCAGUUUCAGAUACCGGGGAUUAUUGGAUUUUUUAUUUUUUUCCUUUUUCUUUUUCUUCUAAAUUCUUAUUUGGUUGGACCGAACCGUGUAAGGCUACCUACGUAUCCUUUUUUUGAAUGAAUCAGGUUGAACAUAGUUCAAACAUCUGACCUAACUAUAUUUUUUUUCGUUUUUCUUCUUUUCCUUUGUCUUUCUUUUUUUUCUUCAUUUUUUCCCCUUUUUUCUUUUUCAAAACAAAUUGCCCCGACUUCUAUUUUUUGGGGCAUGGACAUUUGACUGUUCUUUCUUUUUCUUCUUCUUCUUCUUUUAUUUAUUAAUUGAACUUUUUCAGAGUUGCCCCAGUUUGUACUAUUGGAGCAUGGACUUUUUUUUUGGACUUUGGACUAUAAACUUGAUUCCAAAAGAGGGUGGUUAAAAAAAUAACGCUGGCUCAAAAUGGGUAACAAAGGGUAUAAAGUGUUUGGGAUAGCAAAAAAAGGGCCUCCCAGCCUUGAGAACGCCAAACUUAGUAUCCUUUCGUGAUCACAGCAUUGAUGAACAUGUAUGACUUCUUGGUGUGUCGUUGUCACAAGACACUUUCCAUCCCUUAAUGUCAAACUUUCUAGCAAACUUCAAUUGAUUCUUCCUCAACCCGAUCUUCACAAUGAUUUUGAAGGUAAAGAUUCUUAACCUCCACGGGUAUGACUAUUCUAGUUCCACUUGAAUUUUACUCAGGUUUAAUUCUAAGGUAAUUCAACUCUUUUGCAUCCUCAAAAGUGUCUUUUAUCAGUUGUCCAAUUCAAGCUUAAAUCAAUUUUCUAAGAUCUGGCCAAAAAGUCCGCAUGCAUGUCAUAUUACUAAAACAAGCGGGAAAAGAACUAAGCAUGGAAUGACACAAAAGGAAAACACUAUUUAAUUGAGUAAGCAACAAGACCAACAACCUAAAAUCCGAGUUUCAACCCUAAAAUAACCCGGAUAAUGAAAAUAAUAACAAAAUAGAUAAACAAGACUCACACAAACUCCAAAAUGGUCCGAUUGACCACCCGAAACUCACCCGAGGCCUCCGGGACCUCAACCAAAGUCACCAACACAUCCUAAAACCUUGUUCAAACUUUUUCCAAUCAUCAAAACACCUCAAAAAUACCAAAUCCACCAAUUCACAUCGAAUUCAAGCCUAAGUUUUCUAAAACUUCCGAAAUACGCUUUCGAUCAAAAACCUAACCAAACCACCUCCGAAUGACCUGAAAUUUUGCACACAUAUCACAAAUGACAUAACAAAGCUACAACAACUCUCGGAAUUCUAUUCCGACCCUCGGAUCAAAAUCUCGCUUAUCAACCUGAAAUCGCCAAAAUACUAACUUCGCCAAUUCAAGCCUAAUUCUACACCGGACCUCCAAAACCAAUUACGAUCACACUCCUAAGUCAUAAAUCACCCAGCGAAGCUAACCAAAUUAUGAAAAUUCCAUUCUGAGCUCAUAUACAAAUAAGUCAACUCUUGGUGAAACCUUUCAAAUUCAAAGCUUUCAUUUGAGACUGUUCUUUCAAAUUCAUUCCGAUUUUCCUGAAAACCAAAACCAACGAUCUACAUUAGUCAUAAUACAUCACACGGGGCAAGUCAUGCCCGAGAACUGGCGAUCAAAGUGCAAAAGCUCAAAACGACCGGUUGAGUCAUUACAUCCUCCCCCACUUAAACACACAUUCGUCCUCGAACGUGCCUAGAGUUGUUUUAGAAGCCAACCAAUAGCUGAAUAACUUUACCAUGAAUAUACCCGAGGGUGAUCCAACGUCACCCUAUCUCAUAUAGGUCCGAUAACACAUUGACACUGAAAUUACACAACCCCAUCUAGCCCAUAAACCAUAGAAUCACAUUUUCACUUCUGAAACCAUCAAUACAUCAAAACCUCACAUCUAUACCCUGAAUAGGCCCGAACCAAUUGUAAUGACCCAUGCCUGCAACCUCAGGUGCAAUUAUCUGAUAUACCACAUAACUCAAACACAUGUAGCGAUAACUUCCAUUCACAUCAGCUGCACACAAUGCCCGAAUACCGGUAGAAAACCUCUUAUCGACUAAAGUUUUAUUCCAACACUUUUAUAUGUACUGCAAAUGAUAACUAAAACACGCAGUGAGCCAUAACCAUUUCUUAGAUCAACCUUUCAUGAAUCCACUUCUCCUUUGGCAAAUACCAUAGCAUAUUUCCGAGUCGAACCUCGAUAUUAUCCUUCCAACAAGCUGAAAUCAGAUACGACCGUAUUCAUUAAUGAUCCCAACGAUCUUCUCUAAUCCAACACACCACGCGGUGACAUGACACAUCAAUAGAGGCCUAAGCCACAAUUAGCAUAAUACGCGCACCAAUAAGCAACUGUCCGAAUAUACUCAAUUCAUAAAAAUAACCCAAAUGAAAGAGCUGUCCCUCAAGAUCACCAGUACCAUCACAACACAAGGCUGAGAACCCGUCUCUCAUCAUAGAAAUAGAACACAUGAAUCUAACCCGCAUGAUCAUAUCUCCACAUAGCUUCGCUGAAAUGUGCGAUCUUAACAAACACCGCUCCACAUGAAACACCUGAAGUUACUACGCUCGAAAGCGACCACCACGCACAACUUGAUGCCUGGAACCAAAGCACAUCAUCAUACCCAUGGUGAAACAAAUAACAUACACCACACAAACCCGAUAGGACAUAACCGAUACGCCAUUCACGGAGCAACACCCAAUUACUCUUCUCGCUCGACUAUGAACCCCAAUAGAACCACACCAUAUGUGCCCAUAACCAACUAACCAUAACGUCUUGCAACACAGAAAGGCAACUCAUAGAUCUCCCUGGAUCACCAAUAGACUCAAUAACAGUCGAAUCAACAAAUCCCUCAACAAUGCAAUUCGGAGCCAACCAAGCUGACUCAAGUUAGAACACGCAUCCAGAUCGGCCCAUCAAUGAACUCUUUAUCAAGGAAAUCCUGAAGUUGUUCCUUCCACUACUAUAACUCCUGCCGGUGCCAUACGACACGGUGCCCGACACCAAAUCAAUACUGAAAUCCGCAACCUCGCCCGGUGACAUGCCCAGCCACAAGAAACACAUCCAAAAAGUCCCUCACCACCGGAACUGAAUCAACAUAAGGAGCCUCAGCACUGACACUCGUCACUAGAGCCCAAAUAAGAAAGACAAAUCCUUCCCAGCCAUCCGCUGGAUCUUCGGCAUGUAAAAAAAAAUUCCUCUAAUGGGACAUAAUCUGCCGAACAUCACCACUCAAUCCGUAGCAUUUUCCGGACAUAGUCAACAACGCCGCCUUAUCACAAUAGUCCAGAAUGACACAACACGGAGACAACUAGUCUGAACCCAAUAUCACUUCUAAAUCUAACAUACCAAGCAACAAAAGAUCCGCUCGGGUCUCUAAACCCUGAUAGUAACUACAUAGUGCCGACACACACGAUUCACGACUGCAACAUAGCCUGAACAUGAGGACUCCCAGUCUCCAACUCCAUAUAGCACACGAAUCAUCAUACCUGAUCCCAAUUCCGCUGUUCGAACACAUACCACACGUCAAAUACCAAAUCACCACGGGAGAUAUUCAAAUAUUCCCCUAUGCCUCCAAGCAAACUCGAAUGUCAGCAGCCAAUCUUGCCAGAAAGUGCCGCAAUACUACCGAAGGGCCAUCAACUUAAUCACAUUGCCUUUCCUGAAAUAUAUAUUCUCGUCAAAUCACUUCUGAUUGGCAAUACCAUUUCCUUAAUCAUCGGAGGCUACCCGCUGCCUAAGAAUUUCAUGAACUUCCUUUCAGAACUGAACUGUAACCUUACAUACGCAAAUCUCAGUCCGCACAACAUACCGUAUAUACCAUACCAUCAGAGGAUAACAUGAGAACUUCAUCUCCCUUCCGAGCCACAGAUAUCUACGCACUUAACUAGUCAAGAACUUUCCAUCGGUCCUAUCUAGAAGAAAAAUCAUUACACAUCCCCUGCUCCGCAUGCCCAUAGAAAAUAUACAUCUCCAAACCGCGGUAAAACCAUCAAGAACUCUCUGAGUCCCCUUUGCACAAAUCAGACCUGCCAGGACUAAAUCCUUCUAACUCGACCAAGCUAAGCAAGCCAUCAAAACUUAAGAGCAUCGCUACAAAAUACCCGCAAGAACCCAUUACCUCGAACACACACACAGAAUUAAUCAUAUCCUUACCAUACCAGUCCGGUCUACUAUCAAGCUACUCCAUCUAUCGAAAUUUCCUUCUGAUUCAUCUUCAACUAGAUAUUCCCUCUUGUUGUAUCACCACAAUGCCUCAACCCAGGCUUACCACACAAGACCCAAGCAUAAAACCACACUGUCUAAGACCCAUAAGCCGCUGAAUACUCUCUCAAAUACUCCCAGAAACACCACAUCCCAAAAUAUUUUACUUUGAAGAGCUUCUUGCGAAUCUAACUCGGUUACCUUUACUUUCCUGAUACUGAUACAUAGAAUCCCAUAAGUAACAUAGAAACACCACAAGUCUUGACCUCUUCCAAUGAAAACUCAGUUUCUAACCGCAUAUACAACUCUAAAAUACCCGAUUGCUCCCUGUAGAAUCUUGAACACAUUUGAACCAUUCUCGAGAGUCAUUCACUCUUAUUCAAACUACAGUUUACUUGACCCAACGAACAGAACCACCCGUGCCUCAUUGGCACUCCAACACCGUAGAAUAAAGUCCCCAUCCCAUACAACCAAGCAAUUUCCUGCUCUAUGCACCGAGCAUUCUUUACUAACCACAACUUAAGACAUCCCGUGGUUUUCUUACCCUAUGAAGCAUAAUAUAACCUUUGUAAAAAAAUUUCCUUUACUCGAUCCAUCCUCGGUCUCAAUUUCCGCAAGCCAUAACGGAUUCACCCGCACGCCUCACACUGGAACCAACAUAGCACCUAACCAUGCUAUCAACCACUCACAACAAACUCCCCUACUUGGCUCGAAGACAUGGAUUAAAAUACACUUAAUAACUCAUAACACUUAUACUAUAUUGAUGCCACAAUACCAUAGUGAGAUUAAACUCAGAUCCUUUGCAAGCUUGUGAAAACACAAAUCAUCUAGUACUUCAUAUCUUCGGCAAAUCUCGCACUCAUUCUCGCAACAAUUAAGCCCCCUCUCUCAAGCAACCCAAAAUUCAAAUUUCAACACUUAUAUUCCACUUGCAGAUGAGAUCUUCUAACAGUCACAUAAGGGUCACACAACCCCAAAAUUCUUCACAGGAGAUAACCCACCUGCUUUACCUUCAAUUAACAUUUCUAUAUACCUUCCACCAUCACAAACCAUAUGCAGUUACUUAGUUUUCUUGAGUCUGAACUCAUACCGCAAAAUGAAAUCUACUUCACUCUCAACUAGGAAACAUUGAAUGAUCCUUCAUAUGCCCAUAACUCGGGGCUAUACCUCGAAUCAAGAUGAAAAUCAAGCACCUAAUAGUUUUUCUAUCCUCCAGCAGACCUUCCUCAUCACUUCCAAGUCAUAUAGAUACAUCUCGCAGUACUAACAUACUCAUUACAUAGUUAUCCAACCAUCACUCCUACUAAUAGGGACGAUACCGAACAUAUAAGUUCAAAACACUUGCUCACACAAUCAGCACCUCGGUGCUCAAGCCAUAGACAAAGAUCCAACCUCAAGUCCCCCAAACUGGCCUCACAUCAAACUCACAGAGAUCACAUCUCGCCCCUCGAUCAGGGGAUCACAAGCCAUCAAGGCACAUCUUAUACUGAGGGUUCAUGCGCGCAUGCGAACACGUGGAAGGAAUUUCAAGAGGUACUUUUAAAGCUGAAUCAAGGACGCAUGAUAAGAAUUCAAGAAUGUGAUAUUUUCCCAAAGGUUCUACAGCCUCUCGAGGAUAAAUACAGACGUCUCAGUUACGAUCCGCGAAACUCUACUAAACCUGCUCAUGACUCGUGAGACCUAUGUAACCUAGGCUCUGAUACCAACUUGUCACGACCCUAACCCCGAACCCGGUCGUGAUGGCGCCUCUCGUGAAGACAAGGCUAGCCAGACCAAAAUAGAACACCUCAUUUAAACAGUUAAAUACCAUAAAUAGUUCUAAAACAUGAUAUAAUAACCAUAAUUUGUGGAAAUAACGAUAACAACAGUAGAAACUAUCCUGACAUAGCCCUAACUGGGGUGUCACAAGUCACGAGCAUCUAUUAGAGUAUAAAUACAACUACAAGGUCUGAAAUAUACAAAAACAGGACUGAUGAGCAAAAAGGGAGAGAAGAUGGUGCUGCGAACGCUGGCAGCCACCUUGCUAAACUCCGAUAACUCUGCCACCGAUUAGCCAAAACCCAUUACUGGGUGUAUAAAUACCUGCAUCUGCACACAAGGUGAAGGGAGUAAAGUGAGUACUCCAACUCAGUGAGUAAUAAAGGUAAAUAAUCACAAGCCGUGGCGUAUAAAAGUAAAAUCUUAGCUGAGUUUAAAACCUCUUUCGAAAAUGAUGUGAGGCCGAGGGCCUGAGAUACUUUUAUACGCCACAAGCUGUGAAAUCUUUAGAAACAUCUUAGUUGAGUUUAAAACCUCUUUCGAAAAUGACUUUUUCAACAGUUACGCAAAUAAAUGCAAAACAGUUAGUGCCGAUAAGCACAUAACAUCCGCCCCUCGGGCACAAAUACCACAGUAUAACAAGUAAAAUGCCAAGUAAAUAUGAAAGAUGAACACAUAAAGGUUUGCCCCUCGGGCAAUCUCUCUGAACAGUACCAGCCCCACGGGCUCACUCUCAGAAUAAUAUCAGCCCUUCGGGCUCACUCUUAGAACAAUAUCAGCCCCUUGGGCUCACUCUCAGAUCAUGAUGGGUACCCGCGCUCAUUGUGGGUGUGCAUACUCCGGAGGAGCCCCUUACGACCCAAACGCUAUAUCAAGCCACCUCGUGGCAUCAUCUCUCGUCACUUGGCCUCAUAUCACUCGGCACUCGACCUCACAUCACUCAAGCCACCUCGUGGCGUAUAAAAGUAUCUCAGGCCCUCGGCCUCAUAUCACUCAGCAUAUCCUCACAUAUGGCCCUCGACCUCACUCAGUUGGAAAAUCAUCACAAGCCCCUCGGGCAUUAGUAAAUCAGUAGUUCUCAGCCCAAAACAUCUUUUAGAAAUAUCAUUUAAGUUUCAAAUAUGAGUAAAAAUGGCUGAGUUUGUAAAACAGUAAAUAUCAAUAGGACUGAGUUCAAGUGAUAAAUCAAUACAAUGAGGAAAUAGUGAUAAAAAUCCCCGGAGGGUUCAAAUAGUUGGCACGAAGCCCAAAUCAGACCCAAAUUAUGAUGAUAACAAACAAGUUUCAGUCAAAUACGCGGUAAAUUCAUCAAUCGAGAUGGACCAAGUCACAAUCCCCAAUAGCAAACGACCCUACGCUCAUUAUCAAGAGCGUGUCUCACCUCAAUAUAGCACUACGAUGUACAAUCCGGGGUUUCAAACCCUCAGGACAUCAUUUGAAAUCAUUACUCACCUCGAAUCGGCUACAACUCUAGCUCGCGACGCCUUUGCCCCUCGAAUUGGCCUCCACGCGCGUCGAGUCUAACCAAAAGCAGAACGAAUACGUCACAAUAUGCUAAGGGAACAAGCCUAAGUGAAAACAAUAAAAAAUCCCGAAAUUAGCAAAACCCGAGCCCCGGACCCACUUCUCGAAACUCAGAAAUUUUCACAUCAUUAGAUUCCUUAUCGCUCCACGAGUUCAUACAUACCAAAAGUUCUCAAUUCUGACCUCAAAUGGUCCUUCAAAUCCCAAUUCAAAAGUUCAAAAUCCCAAGCCCUAGUUCUUCCAUUUUUAGCUUAAAUUCCAUGAAUUUCUAGGUUAAUUUCACAAUAGAAUCACGUUUUAGGUUCAAAAAUAUUACCUCCAAUCAAUUCUCCUUGAAUUUCCUCUUCAAUCACCUUCAAAAUGCUCUCAAAAUACUCAGCUAUAGAGGAAAAAUGGCUCAAAAUCGCGGAUAAAAUGUCUUAUAAACUUUCUGCUCAGUUCUGAUAUUCCUUCUUCGCGAACGCGGUUAAACACUCGCGUUCGCGAUGCACAAAUUUAACUUGACCAGAUUUCCCUCUACGCGAUCGCGACCAAGGGAUCGCGAACGCGAUGCUUUAGACUCCUCAACCUACGCGAACGCGAAGAGCAACAGCUCCUGGACCUUUCAUGCGCCAACUCAACUAUGCGAAUGCGACCUACCCUCACGCCAACACGAAGCACCAGUCUCCCACCUUCCGCGAACACGAGGCCUCAAAUGCGAACGCGAAGGACAAACGCAAACCACCCCAAAAUCCUUCUAUGCGAUCGCGACUCGCCCCACGCGAUCGCGAAGGCCAAUUUCGUCUGCAACAGCUGAACAGUUUCUGCAAUGAUCCAACACCAUAACUACCCCGAUUGGCUACCCAAAACUCACCUGAGGCCCCCGGGACCUCAACAAAAAGCACUGACACAUCCUAAAACCUCAUUAAAACUUGAUCCAAUCAUCAAAACACCUCAAACAACACCAAAUUCAUCAAUUCACAUCGAAUUCAAGCCUAAGUUUUCUAAAAACUUCUGAAAUACGCUUUCGAUCAAAACUCCAACCAAAUCAUGUCCCAAUGACCUGAAAUUUAGCACACAUAUCACAAAUGACAUAACAAAGCUACAACAACUCUCAAAAUUCUAUUCCGACCCUCGGAUCAAAAUCUUGCCUAUCAACCGAAAAUCGCCAAAAUACUAACUUCGCCAAUUCAAGCCUAAUUCUACACUGGACCUCCAAAACCCAAUCUGAUCACACUCCUAAGUCACAAAUCACCUCCCAAAGCUAACCAAACCAUUGGAACUCACUUCUGAUCCCUUUAAUACAAUAGUCAACAUCCGAUUGACUUUUCCAAAUCAAACCUUCUUAAAAGAGACUAAGUGUCUCAUUACUUACCAAAUCCUCUCCGAACACAGACUAAUCAACUUGAUCACAUAAAACACGGAUAACGAAACAUGAAGAAGCAAAAGUGGGGGAAAAUGGAGCGGUAAUUCAUGAGACGACUGGCCGAGUCGUCACACAAACAGAAUAGAGAGAUAGAAGGGUUUGACUAAAUAAAAUAAAUAAAAUCUGGAUGACAUCCUUGAAAUAACCCAGAUAAUAGAAAAAAUAUCAAAACAAGCUACCAAGAUUCCUUCCUAGUGAGGAGGGAAUGACUUUUCAAUUGUUAAGCUUAACAUUUAGCCAUAAAUUUGCUCAUCAGAAUCAACAGAGCCUUCUCAAAUUUCAAAAUUAUUAACUUCAGUCAGCAAGUUCUCGAGAGGAUUCUCAUACUCCCUAUCACCACACAUCAUCCCUACAAAGUGUGAAUCAUCAUGUGCAGGUAAAGGAUUCUACAUGAUAUUCUGGGUGUCACUGUCUUGGACACAAUCAAUUUUUCUAGGAUCAUCCUUUCUAUUGCUCUAUUCAAAUCCCGACAGCUUUCAACAUUAUGACCCUGGGCAUUAGAAUGGUAUUCACACCUUUUAUAAGGGUCAAAUCUUUUUUCACGUGGGUCCAUAUGAUUUGGAAGAAUAGGUAAAAUCAUGUCAUAAUGCUUUAAUUUCUCAAACAAGUUUGCAUAAGACUCUCUUAUUGGUGUAAAAUUAUCUUUCAACCUUUGUUCCUCUAUGUAUCCCUGGCUUGUAUGUGGGUUAUAGGGCACUUGAAAAUUUUGUAGAGGCUGGUGGAGAUUUUGUGAUGCUCUUGCUUGCCUUAUGAGGUGUUUUGGUGGCUGGACAAUGUACUGAGGUGGAGAAACAGAGUAUUGUGGGUUCUGAGGUGGAUAGUACUGCUCAGGGGAAUCAUCGCAAACCAAACGAAGCUGCUCAUACAUUCGAGAUGUUCUCCUAGGACCUCUUUGCGACCCUGAUGUAAUCAUGGUUUCUUCAUCCUUCUCAUUCGUAUCACUAAAAUUAUCAGAUUCAAUAUGGACAGGCUGAGUUGUGGCUUUAAGAACUGCUUGACUUGUAAUUUUGCCCGUCUUAAGGCCAUUUUCAAUCAUUUCCCCCAUUUUGAUUGCUUCCGAGAAGGAUUUACCUACUACGGACAUCAUGUUUUGAAAAUAAUCUGGCUCUUAAGCCUGAAUAAAGACUUUGAUUAGCUCGUGGUUGUCCAUGGAUGGCUUAAUUCUAGCUGCUUGCUCUCUCCAUUUAAUGGCAUAUUCCCUGAAAGUUUCAGUUGGUUUCUUCUUCAGGUUUGAAAGGGAAUUGCGGUCUGGGGCGAUGUCGAUGUUGUAUUGGAACUGUUUGACAAAGUCCUGUGCCAUGUCAUCCCAAACAUACCAGUAAGAUGUGUCUUGAUCCAUAAACCAUUCAGAGGCUACUCCCGUAAGGCUUUCCCCAAAAUAAGCUACCAGCAAUUAUUCACUUCUUCCUGCACCUCUUAGCUGAUUGCAAUACCUUUUCAGGUGGGCUAUUGAGUCUCCAUGCCCAUCAUCGGGGUACAUACAUAGAUCUUUGAAGGCAAUACUCUUCUGACUUGCCAACCCUUGCAUGUUUUUCAACUAUUGUUCUAAGCUUUUCACUCUUUAGGUCAUUUCUUCAUUUGCCAUCUUUCGGGUAGGUUUCUCAAUCUUUGCAGGAAGAUCAAAUAGGUACGGGUGGUACUCAGAAGAGUGGUACUGCUCUUGCUGGGUAGCAAAUUGUGACUCAUGAAUUUUCCUCUGCACCACCAUCGGUUGUAGAACGGUGAGGACGGGUAUAACAUCAGUGUUUGUCUGAUUGAUUGCCACUGGCACACUUUGGAAGCGCACAACAAAAGUUCCAACUGUAGCCGUACAGUUGGGAUAAAGACUGAACCUAGGUGGAUAGGAUUGAUCAGACAAUGAGAUCUUAGUGGUAGUAGUCGAGAUGGGUGUGAACUCUGAGAAACCAGGAAUAGAUAAAGGCGGUCCUUGUCCAUUGGCUCAUGCUUGACACAUUUUAGUCAUUUUUUCCUUCAAUACCCUAUUUUCCUCAACCAUAGUAGACUCUUGUUAAACCUUCUGACCUUGAGUCUCAUGACUGCUUGCAACAUCUUCGAUGUUAGUUGUCAUUUUUUUCCCUUUGAAUUUUGUGUUUCCAGCUUACCACAAACCGACCACCUCAAACUUUCUUCACAAUUCAAAACAAAAGACAUGUUAGAAUGGAUUCAGUCGGUCCUUAUUAUUAUCGUCAUUUUUUCAUUUUUUAUUUUUUUAAUGGUUGAUCAAACCUGAUGUGGGUUUCCUACAUAUCAUAUGGGAAUAUGAAUCAGAUCUUGCGUAGUUCCGGAAGAUCAUGAAUAAAAUAUAUAAACUAAAAUUUUUUCUUUUUUGAUUUUUUUCGAAAGAGAGACUUAUAAAGAAGCAAGAUGUUUUUUGAAUUUCGAAUUUUUCUUUUGGCAUUUCGAAUUUUUUUUUCCAAAGAAUAAAGAAAAUAUUUUCGUAUUUUUGGACUUUUAUGUUAAAAUCAUGAAAGAAAGACUUCUGUAGAAAAAAAAUAUUUUUUUUGAAUCUUGAAUUUUCUUUUCAAUUUUCGAAAAUAGGUUAUGGUAUUCUAGGGUUAAAAACUGGGUGUAUUUGUUCUAGACCUGGCUUACCCAAGCGAACAGCUCGAGCCGAGGGGAGGGGGGCAGCGUACCGUGAAUACUAGUGGUGUGCAUUCGACUUAUCGAUUCGAUUUUGACCCUUAUCGAUAAUUACUUAUCGAUUAUCGAUUUGUACAUAUGCUUAUCGUUUUCGUUUCAAUAAGGUUUCGAUUUUUUCAAUUUCAAUUUAUCGAUUUUUGGGGCUUAUCGAUUCGGUUAUCGUUUACACCAAUAAGAAGGAUUCCAAGGAAAGUAUAUUGCUAUAAACACGGCUAACUAAUAUGGACAAAAAGAAGCUAAAAUAAGACGAACACCAUUUAUAACAUAAAAAUUGUGUCAACAAGCACAUGCAAUGAAACUAAAGUAAGGGAUCAAAUGUAUGCCACCAACACUCCAAAGAUACAAAAAAAAUACAUCAUCACAGCUAAUUCUGUUUUCCAUUAAUUUGAACUUCAUUCCCUUGAGCUUUAAAUAUGAUCAUUCAUUCCUUAAAUGUGGUAGAGGAAAUAAUAAGGUUAGGGACUUAGGGUAAAUAAAAGGGUAUUAUAGAAUAAGGGUUAAAAUUUUUUUUGUUUUUGUCUUUAUUAGUAUUCUUAUCGAUUUAUCGAUAAACCGAUAACCGAAGAGGACAAAAUCGAAAUCAAUAACUAGAUAAGGAAAAUUUCGAAAUCGAUAAAUCGAUAAACCGAUAACAAAUAAUCGAUAAACCGAUUCGAAUGCACACCCCUAGGGAAUACAAAAGCUUCACCGGCUUUACAACUUGUGCGAACCUCGUUCUAAAAUUGGGAUAUGACUCUAACAGAAAAGAAGUUACACGAAGUGCACACUUCCUAGAUGAUUUAGAAGAAUCAAAGAGAAGAGGGUUUCGUAACAGUUUAUAUACAGUUCAAACAAUAUCAAAGCGGUAAAAAGCGACAUUUAGCACAUUAGUCUCAAACACGUAAAAAUCAGAUAAUAAAUAAAAGACAACUAUCACAAUUAUUCUAAGAUCGAAUUCUGAACCCUGAACCAGAAGUUCUAGAUUCUUAUCCCUAGUAGAGUCGCCAGAGCUGUCAUACCUCCUUUUUCCCGAGGAGGCAUAGGGAGUUUUUUCCAAUUAAAUUGACAUUAAUCGAAAUGAGAUUGUUUAUUUAAUUUCAGUUCAUGGUGUCCCAAGUCACUGAUUUAUUUAAAAUCUCAAAUCGAGGAAAUUGACUAUUUUUUGGUCCGCGAACACAAAAGACCGGGUAAGGAAUUCUGUUAACCCGAGAGAAAGUGUGAGGCACUCCCAAGUUUCGUGGUUUUAGCACAGUCGCUCAACUAUUAAUAAUUGGCCUAAUUAUCUGAUUAAUUACAUGUUUUAAACAUAUUGUGCAUUUUAACUUUAUAAUCGCUUUUAUUUAUUUAUGGAGUUAUUUCUGGAACAAGUCACGAUUGUCGUACACUUGUUGUUUUGGUACACAUUGCAAACUGCGCCAUAUGAAAUGCACCUGCGAUUCACGACAUGUUAACAUUUAUUAUUAUUCGAAGUUAUAGUCGGAUCACAUAAAAUGCACACCCGAAUUGGAAUUUACGUAUCAUGACUAUGCCACGGGAACCAUACUCAUGGCCACGAUAAUUUAUUAUUAAUCGCGCCUAAAACAAUUAGUGCAUUUGAAUUAUUUUUCUACUUUCUAAGUUUGUGGUUUGAGUUUCUCGUAAGAAAACCGGACAUAAACAAGAAACGUCAUCAUCUUGAAUUCUUGAUGGCUGGAAAUAAACUUGCAAGUAACUAUUCGCUACGAAACAUAAUUUUUCGAUGCAUUUAAGCAGAAAAGAAUGAUUUGUAAUAAAUCUAAACAUCUCUGAGUUCAAACAAAAAUAAGGAUGACAAAGCAACUAGACAACAACAACAAAUAGAUAGAUUACAAAAUUCAAAUAAAAAUUCUGAACCAGCGUCCAAAACUCAUAAAUUUCACUACCAAAUUAUCUUGCAAAAGUUAAAUAAGUUGGAAAAAAACUAAAAGAUCCAUUCUCAAAGAAAUAUCAAUUCAACUAACACCUCAACAACCUUGAAAGUAGAAGUCUUAACAGAUUCCAAAAUUUAACAAUAAGUAAAGACAAAUCAUUAACGGUAAAAUGAACAAAGAUAGCUUCAAGCAGAAAUCGAGACGAACUGAGGAAAGCAAAUAGACUCAAUGUUUAUGUGUAGUGCUUCAAAGCAAAUAUAAACCAAAGUAGUAAUCCCAAAUAAUUAAGCAAGGCACUAAAAAUGCGUCAUUGCUCACUUAGCAUUUGUCAAACAAUACAGUCUCAUAAAUAUUUCAAAGUGAAUUAACCAUGGCCCUUAUCAUACUCGGAUCAUCAACAAAAGAAAAUUAUAGAAGAGAAAGAGAUGGACUUGAACGCAGCAAAGCUUUGAUUAGAUUGUUUGGAAUCAAAUACAAAUGAAUCUGGCCGUCAAACCUGAAGUAAAUAGCAACCACAAUGCAACAGAAAACUCGAAAAAUGGACCAUGGCCGGAACUUUUGAAACUUGGUGACCUCGACUCGAUUCUGCAACUUUAGCAGUGGUGUUUGGAGGCGGAAGGCUGUUGAAAUUUCAUGUGUUUGGCUAGUUGUUUGGAGCUGAUUUUCAGCUGGUCUAUGGCUCGUUUUGGGUGGUGUUUCGCUGGUGUUUGUACAACUAAAGCAGUAGCGAUGAACUAGUGGAGCUAUAGUUUCUUCGGGGUGGUUUUGGGGCUGGAUUUUGGUCCCUUGUUUAGCUCAUUUUUGGUAUGAUUCGCAGUUAAUUUUAGCUGUUUACAGCAAGUUUUGGCUGAUUUUCAUGGCUGCUCAAAGCUAGUUUCAAUGGAGUUUCAAAGAAAGUUUUCAACGGAAUUCACUUGGAGCUCUUGAAGUUGGUUUUUUAGGAGGAAGAAGAAGAAGUUUUGCCUCCCAUCUUAUUGUUUUCCCCCGAUCCCAUGUCUCUUUUUUUUCGUCCCUCUCUCUAUCGUAUGUGUGUGUGUUAUCACUCUUUUUCGGUUUUUCUUCCUCAAGUUGCUGCGCAGCUUUUUCCCUCUUUUGCCUUAGGGUUUCUUCAAAAAAGAUCUGUUAAGUAAGUGAAGAGAGGGAAAUCGGGCCAGACGGGUCGGGCAGAUGGGGACUAGAUUGGUGCAAUUUUUUGGGCCACUGAAAC
RNAcentral lists this long non-coding RNA (19507 nucleotides) under Nicotiana tabacum (common tobacco). RNAcentral's name for it is "long non-coding RNA (NTAB_LNC016768)". Lineage: Eukaryota; Viridiplantae; Streptophyta; Magnoliopsida; Solanales; Solanaceae. The record is from RNAcentral.